CAGCAGCCACGGGAAUACAGAGGGUGCAAGCGUUAAUCGGAAAUACUGGGCGUAAAUCGCGCGUAGGUGGUUUGUUAAGUUGGAUGUGAAAGCCCCGGGCUCAACCUGGGAACUGCAUCCAAAACUGGCAAGCUAGAGUACGGUAGAGGGUGGUGGAAUUUCCUGUGUAGCUGUGAAAUGCGUAGAUAUAGGAAGGAACACCAGUGGCGAAGGCGACCACCUGGACUGAUACUGACACUGAGGUGCUAAAGCGUGGGGAGCAAACAGGAUUAGAUACCCCAGUAGUCCCUGUCUCUUAUAA
Molecule: ribosomal RNA, 301 nt
Filed under: uncultured bacterium
Lineage: Bacteria
Description: partial 16S ribosomal RNA
Rfam family: Bacterial small subunit ribosomal RNA
Source: RNAcentral